Long non-coding RNA from Carassius auratus (goldfish), 553 nucleotides. RefSeq lists it as uncharacterized. Lineage: Eukaryota; Metazoa; Chordata; Actinopteri; Cypriniformes; Cyprinidae. The record is from RefSeq and is a predicted model, not a curated record. The transcript has 3 exons.
UGGUUCAAAUAUGAAUAUUGUUAUGAACUUCAUCAAAACUUAUGUUUUUGUGCUUCAUAUUUUUAUUUGGAGUUAUUAUGGGGCAUAAUGUACAUAAUUAAUUAUAGUAGGAACCGUUCAUGCAGAAUACUGUCUUGUAUGGGGCACAUAUUGGUGACGCACAUGAUACCUCGUGCGAUUGGCCUACAGCGCCAUCUUUAGAAGCACAUAUGCUGCUGACGAGGUCGGUUGUGCUGUCUCUCGCUCUUCAAAUGAGAGCGCUGCUUCCUCCAUGCUGUACGGGCAGACUGAAGGGGAGAGAAGGUGUAUCCCAAAAAAAGUUUAAUUGUGCUCUGUGUGUUUCUGCAGACCUGCUUUUUGCAGAAUAAAACAUCCUGAGACCUCCUCCAGCCGCAUUGUCUUCAUUGAGAACAACAAAACACAACCAGAGUAAACCUGUUACAUAAAAUGGUGCCGUGACCUACUGGAUCAACUGGAUCAGCCGCAGCCGAUCGCCGGAGUUGUUCAACGUGCUCGUGGUGUCUGAAUGCUGCAUGUUGAGACUGAGGAAUCG